Cinara cedri is the source of this 207-nucleotide non-coding RNA. The record is from the annotation of a GenBank genome assembly. NCBI's taxonomy places the organism in Eukaryota, Metazoa, Arthropoda, Insecta, Hemiptera, Aphididae.
AAAGUACCAUCUGGACAAUGUUUCGUUUCACAAAUGAUGCUCUGCGUAUAUAUCUGAUCAAGGUUUAUGGUCAAAUUUUUGUAUACAGGAUAAAAGAAAAGAGAAAAAAAAAUAAACAAAUCAAGAUCUUAAGUAAAACCAAUACAUCUAAAAUACAUUUAUUUUACUAUGUAUUACCAAAGUAUGAACAGGAUUUGAAAAGGAGUG